GUUGCUUCUUACUGGUGAACUCCCUCUAGAUCAUAAUGAGGGAUGUUCAUGUUUCCGAAGCAUACACCAAUCAUCUUUGCCAGUAUUAAACAGCGCCUGGGUGCUUAUCCUUAUUCACCACCGCGCUACCUGUCUCCUGGUACAUUU
Molecule: small nucleolar RNA, 147 nt
Organism: Vitis vinifera (wine grape)
Lineage: Eukaryota; Viridiplantae; Streptophyta; Magnoliopsida; Vitales; Vitaceae
Rfam family: small nucleolar RNA snoR137
Source: Rfam